GGACUACCCGGGUAUCUAAUCCUGUUCGCUCCCCACGCUUUCGCUCCUUAGCGUCAGUUCCGGCCCAGAGACCCGCCUUCGCCACCGGUGUUCCUCCUGAUAUCUGCGCAUUUCACCGCUACACCAGGAAUUCCAGUCUCCCCUACCGGACUCUAGCCUGCCCGUAUCGACUGCAGGCCCGGGGUUGAGCCCCGGGUUUUCACAGCCGACGCGACAGGCCGCCUACGAGCUCUUUACGCCCAAUAAUUCCGGACAACGCUUGCACCCUACGUAUUACCGCGGCGGCUGGCAC
Molecule: ribosomal RNA, 292 nt
Filed under: uncultured bacterium
Lineage: Bacteria
Description: partial 16S ribosomal RNA
Source: RNAcentral